AGAGACAGGGCCUUCUUGGUGGUGGUACCUUGGCUAUGGAACACCCUCCCCAGGGAGAUUAGAUCAGCCUGCUCCCUCCUGAUGUUCUGCAAAAAAUGAAGACAUGGCUCUUUGACCAAGCCUUGGGAAAUCUAUUAAAAUAAUAGAAAUGAAAGAUGUGCCUAUGGAUCACAUGAUUUACCCUGUUGUAUGGAGAUUAUUUAUUUUAAUUGAUUUUAAUUGUAUUUUAAUAUUUUAUUUUAUUUAAAUGGUUGGUUUUGUACUCUGUUUUUAAAGGCAUUGAAUUGUUGCCAUGUUGUGAAGCCGCCUUGAGUCCCUUCCGGGAGAAAGGUGGGGUAAAAGUAUCGUAAAUAAAUAAAUAUUACACAAAUAGCAACAAAAGCAAACCUUCCAAGGAGAGAAUUUUUUGACAUCAUUAUGGAUGCAGAGGGAAAAGGAGGGAGAUAAAAUUCUGCUCUGGAGUUGCGUGCGCACAAAUACUGCAUUACAUAUAAUAUAUAGUUUCAUAUAAUAUAAACAAGUGCUGUAGGCCAUAUUUCAGAAGAAGAAUAUGUUAAAACUGCAUUUAAGUACUCCUUGUCUAAGAAACCUGUGUAUCAUUUGUUUCAGUCAUUUUUGUGUGAAUCUAAAAAAUUAUUUGAAAAAUAAAAACCCAAAUGCAUUUGGGAAAGAGCAGUAUAUUUAUUCAACUCUACAAAUAGUAUAAUGAUACUGUGGACAUUAGUAUUGUAUUAUUAUGUUGCUAUGUCUUCUUACAAUGUCUACUAAGUUUUUAAAAAAUUUCAUGAAAUAGUAAGGAUGCUACAUGCUUCAAUCAGGAUAAAAAGCAGUGUCAGGACCCCGAGAAGUUGUAUAUAUGAAGCAAAGCUAUUGUGACAUGACUUACUCCCUAUUCUUCCACUUCAAUUCAUUCACUGCAUUUCUACAGAUAAACCCAGUAACAGGGAUUGCAAAAGGUAAGAAGUGUGCAGUCUUCCCAAGAGCAAGACAGCAAGAGUUCUUUGUGAGAUAGGCAGGUCAUGUAAUGGUUACUCUGUAAAUGCUGAGACUAGAACAGUUGUCAGUUAACUCUAAGAGGAGUCAGAGAAAGAGCAAAAGGGAACAGAAUGCAUGCAGUCCAGAUAUAGGUGGAAGCUGAUAUAAUGUGUAAGAUAACUCUUUGCUUUUUUGGUACAGAUCCUCAGUGCCUCUCAACCAGUUUAAGCAAAUAAGAGAAGUUGUUUGACUAUAAUUCCCAUCAUUGCUAGGCAACAUGGUCAAUGGUCAAGAAUGACGGGAGUUAAAUUCAACAGCAACUGGAUGCUCAAAACCAAAGCUACUAAAGAUAUGGAGGCUACAUUGAUGCUCUAGCUGAUCUGAAUGGUCACAUCCCUACCACCCCAGAUAUUUUUGUAUCUAAAAAUGUAUCUUGUGCUGUCUAAAUGAUGUGGGAAGCAUUUAUAGCAAAACUGAAUUUUACAAUGCCAAGGGACUCUG
RNAcentral lists this long non-coding RNA (1476 nucleotides) under Anolis carolinensis (green anole). Its description in RNAcentral is "lncRNA (ENSACAG00000039212.1)". Lineage: Eukaryota; Metazoa; Chordata; Lepidosauria; Squamata; Anolidae. The record is from RNAcentral.